Molecule: long non-coding RNA, 785 nt
Filed under: Homo sapiens (human)
Lineage: Eukaryota; Metazoa; Chordata; Mammalia; Primates; Hominidae
Description: non-protein coding LINC00920:8
Source: RNAcentral
AGGAAGUGAAUCUUCACAGGGAAGGAAGCAACAAAACUCUGCCUUUGGCUUUUGCUGGCUGAGCAGGGAAAGGCCUAUAGACACAGGGCAUUGGGCAGGAGCUAGAACAGCCCUCCCUAGAGCACUACAUAAAGCAGCCAAUAUUUUGCAAAGCAUAGGGAAGAGUGAAAGUCAUCCGGGGCAUUUGCAGACACAGCACUAAGAACUUGGUGACAACAGCCCUGAAGCAAAACAGCAGCAUGUACUGGGCAGGGCUUGGGAGAUAAGACAGGACAUCUGAAGCUAAACAUGAGUUGUAAAAUAGCUCAAAGACGAUGAAAGGCAAUAACCUGGAAAAGUGUACCGGACAAAAAACCCAGAUCCCCUCUGAAAGCUACAAUCAAAGUGUCAUCCACAAAAUCUUAUCUCAAGCCUUGACUAGAGAAGGACCCACUUCCAAGACCACAGAGUUGAAUGAAUUCAGUCCUUGCAGCCCGUUGAACUGAGGGCCUCCCCAACAUGCUCACCUGCUUCAUCAAAGCCUGCGAGAGAGAGAGUCCACUAGCAAGAGGACAUUGCAGUCUUAUCUAAUGCAAUCACUGAAGUGACAUCCUGUCACCUUGGUCACCUUUUCUAUUCUAUUCAUUAUAAAUGAGUCCCAAGUCCUGCCACACUCAAGUGGAGGGGAUUACACAGGGCUGGAGUACCAGCGGUGGGGAUAAUUUGGGGUCAUCUUAGAGUUCUUCCAUCACACGGGAAUUCUCAGCUCACCAAAUCUGGGAUUCCGCAUCUGGCCAUUCCUUAAG